CACUCCUGCGGAAGGCAGCAGUGGGGAAUUUUGGACAAUGGGCGAAAGCCUGAUCCAGCAAUGCCGCGUGAGUGAAGAAGGCCUUCGGGUUGUAAAGCUCUUUUGUCAGGGAAGAAACGGUGAAAGCUAAUAUCUUUUGCUAAUGACGGUACCUGAAGAAUAAGCACCGGCUAACUACGUGCCAGCAGCCGCGGUAAUACGUAGGGUGCAAGCGUUAAUCGGAAUUACUGGGCGUAAAGCGUGCGCAGGCGGUUUUGUAAGUCUGAUGUGAAAUCCCCGGGCUCAACCUGGGAAUUGCAUUGGAGACUGCAAGGCUAGAAUCUGGCAGAGGGGGGUAGAAUUCCACGUGUAGCAGUGAAAUGCGUAGAUAUGUGGAGGAACACCGAUGGCGAAGGCAGCCCCCUGGGUCAAGAUUGACGCUCAUGCAUGAAAGCGUGGGGAGCAAACAGGAUUAGAUACCCCUGUAGUCCCAUGAU
Molecule: ribosomal RNA, 476 nt
Filed under: uncultured organism
Description: partial 16S ribosomal RNA
Rfam family: Bacterial small subunit ribosomal RNA
Source: RNAcentral